This 432-nucleotide unclassified non-coding RNA is filed under the name soil metagenome. RNAcentral describes it as "partial contains 5.8S ribosomal RNA, internal transcribed spacer 2, and large subunit ribosomal RNA". The stretch from base 1 to 120 matches the Rfam family "5.8S ribosomal RNA", at positions 35 to 154 of the family's 154-position model. The record is from RNAcentral.
GAUGAAGAACGUAGCGAAAUGCGAUACGUAAUGUGAAUUGCAGAAUUCAGUGAAUCAUCGAAUCUUUGAACGCAUAUUGCGCUCUCUGGUAUUCCGGAGAGCAUGCUUGUUUGAGUAUCAGUAAACACCUCAACUUCCAUAUCUUUUUUGAAAUGGGAGUUGGACUUGAGUGAUCCCAACGCUUUUCCUCACCGAAAAGUGGCGGGUUACUUGAAAUGCAGGUGCAGCUGGACUUUUCUCUGAGCUAUAAGCAUAUCUAUUUAGUCUGCCUAAAAAACAGAUUAUUACCUUUGCUGCAGCUAACAUAAAGGAGAUUAGUUCUUGUGCUGACUGAUGCAGGAUUCACAAAGACGGCUUCGGCCGACUUUGUAAACUCGAUCUCAAAUCAAGUAAGGCUACCCGCUGAACUUAAGCAUAUCAAUAAGCGGAGGA